Molecule: ribosomal RNA, 253 nt
Filed under: uncultured bacterium
Lineage: Bacteria
Description: partial 16S ribosomal RNA
Rfam family: Bacterial small subunit ribosomal RNA
Source: RNAcentral
UACGUAGGGGGCGAGCGUUGUCCGGAAUCAUUGGGCGUAAAGCGCGUGUAGGCGGCCCGGUAAGUCCGCUGUGAAAGUCCAGGGCUCAACCCUGGGAUGCCGGUGGAUACUGUCGGGCUCGAGUCCGGAAGAGGCGAGUGGAAUUCCUGGUGUAGCGGUGAAAUGCGCAGAUAUCAGGAGGAACACCGAUGGCGAAGGCAGUUCUCUGGGCCGUAACUGACGCUGAGGAGCGAAAGCGUGGGGAGCGAACAGG